RNAcentral lists this ribosomal RNA (633 nucleotides) under Pleurotus eryngii var. ferulae. RNAcentral describes it as "LSU rRNA". It matches the Rfam family "Eukaryotic large subunit ribosomal RNA", at positions 38 to 676 of the family's 3401-position model. Lineage: Eukaryota; Fungi; Basidiomycota; Agaricomycetes; Agaricales; Pleurotaceae. The record is from RNAcentral.
GCAUAUCAAAAAGCGGAGGAAAAGAAACUAACAAGGAUUCCCCUAGUAACUGCGAGUGAAGCGGGAAAAGCUCAAAUUUAAAAUCUGGCGGCUUUGGUCGUCCGAGUUGUAUUCUAGAGAAGUGUUUUCCGCGUUGGACCGUGUAUAAGUCUCUUGGAAUAGAGCGUCAUAGAGGGUGAGAAUCCCGUCUUUGACACGGACUACCAAUGCUUUGUGAUACACUCUCAAAGAGUCGAGUUGUUUGGGAAUGCAGCUCAAAAUGGGUGGUAAAUUCCAUCUAAAGCUAAAUAUUGGCGAGAGACCGAUAGCGAACAAGUACCGUGAGGGAAAGAUGAAAAGCACUUUGGAAAGAGAGUUAAACAGUACGUGAAAUUGCUGAAAGGGAAACGCUUGAAGUCAGUCGCGUUAGCUAGAACUCAACCAGGCUUGCUUGGCGUAUUUUCUAGUUAACGGGCCAGCAUCAGUUUUGACCGCAGGAAAAGGGCCAGGGAAAUGUGGCAUCUUCGGAUGUGUUAUAGUCUCUGGUCGUAUACUGUGAUUGGGACUGAGGACCGCAGCACGCGCAAGCUGUGCUUAGGAUGCUGGCGUAAUGGCUUUAAACGACCCGUCUUGAAACACGGACAAAAGGAGUCA